UGGGGAAUUUUGGACAAUGGGCGAAAGCCUGAUCCAGCAAUGCCGCGUGUGUGAAGAAGGCCUUCGGGUUGUAAAGCACUUUUGUCCGGAAAGAAAUCCUUGGCUCUAAUACAGUCGGGGGAUGACGGUACCGGAAGAAUAAGCACCGGCUAACUACGUGCCAGCAGCCGCGGUAAUACGUAGGGUGCAAGCGUUAAUCGGAAUUACUGGGCGUAAAGCGUGCGCAGGCGGUUUGCUAAGACCGAUGUGAAAUCCCCGGGCUCAACCUGGGAACUGCAUUGGUGACUGGCAGGCUAGAGUAUGGCAGAGGGGGGUAGAAUUCACGUGUAGCAGUGAAAUGCGUAGAGAUGUGGAGGAAUACCGAUGGCGAAGGCAGCCCCCUGGGCCAAUACUGACGCUCAUGCACGAAAGCGUGGGGAGCAAACAGGAUUAGAUACCCUGGUAGUCCACGCCCUAAACGAUGUCAACUAGUUGUUGGGGAUUCAUUUCCUUAGUAACGUAGCUAACGCGUGAAGUUGACCGCCUGGGGAGUACGGUCGCAAGAUUAAAACUUCAAAUGAAUUGACGGGGUCAUAGCUGUUUCCU
RNAcentral lists this ribosomal RNA (585 nucleotides) under uncultured bacterium. RNAcentral describes it as "partial 16S ribosomal RNA". It matches the Rfam family "Bacterial small subunit ribosomal RNA", at positions 355 to 1375 of the family's 1533-position model. The record is from RNAcentral.